This 547-nucleotide long non-coding RNA is filed under the name Elaeis guineensis (African oil palm). Its description in RNAcentral is "long non-coding RNA (EGUI_LNC045050)". The record is from RNAcentral. Lineage: Eukaryota; Viridiplantae; Streptophyta; Magnoliopsida; Arecales; Arecaceae.
GAGCCGGGCUCCGUCCUCGACCUCGACUGCUGGUAAACUUCGUCCGGACUCCUAAGGGAGCCGGACUUCGCCCCUGACUUUGAUUGCAGGUAAACUUCGUCCAGACUCCUACGGGAGUCGGACUUCGUCCCCGACUUCCACUGCAGGUAAACUUCGUCCAGACUCCUACGGGAGCCGGACUUCAUCUCCGACUUCCACUGUAGGUGAACUUCGUCCGGACUCCUACGGGAGCCGGACUUCGUCCCCGACUCCUACUGCAGGUGAACUUCGCCAGGACUCCUACGGGAGUCGGGCUCCGUCCUCGACCUCGACUGCUGGUAAACUUCGUUCGGACUCUUAAGGGAGCCGGAUUUCGCCCCUGACUUUGAUUGCAGGUAGACUUCGUCCAGACUCCUACGGGAGCCGGACUUCGUCCCCGACUUCCACUGCAGGUAAACUUCGUCCAGACUCCUACGGGAGCCGGACUUUGUCCCCGACUUCCACUGCAGGUGAACUUCGUCCGGACUCCUACGGGAGCCGGACUUCGUCCCCGACUCCUACUGUAGGU